GGACUGCGGAGGAUCAUUA
Molecule: ribosomal RNA, 19 nt
Filed under: Aspergillus chevalieri
Lineage: Eukaryota; Fungi; Ascomycota; Eurotiomycetes; Eurotiales; Aspergillaceae
Description: partial 18S ribosomal RNA
Source: RNAcentral